UAGUGAGUUUGAUCCUGGCUCAGGAUGAACGCUGGCGGCAUGCCUAACACAUGCAAGUCGAACGAAGCCUUCGGGCUUAGUGGCGCACGGGUGCGUAACGCGUGGGAAUCUGCCCUUGGGUUCGGAAUAACAGUUAGAAAUGACUGCUAAUACCGGAUGGUGUCUUCGGACCAAAGAUUUAUCGCCCAAGGAUGAGCCCGCGUCGGAUUAGCUAGUUGGUGAGGUAAAGGCUCACCAAGGCGACGAUCCGUAGCUGGUCUGAGAGGAUGAUCAGCCACACUGGGACUGAGACACGGCCCAGACUCCGUACGGGGAGGCAGCAGUGGGGUAAUAUGGACAAUGGGCGAAAGCCUGAUCCAGCAAUGCCGCGUGAGUG
This 376-nucleotide ribosomal RNA is filed under the name uncultured Sphingomonadaceae bacterium. RNAcentral's name for it is "bacterial SSU rRNA". It matches the Rfam family "Bacterial small subunit ribosomal RNA", at positions 1 to 407 of the family's 1533-position model. Lineage: Bacteria; Pseudomonadati; Pseudomonadota; Alphaproteobacteria; Sphingomonadales; Sphingomonadaceae. The record is from RNAcentral.